RNAcentral lists this long non-coding RNA (758 nucleotides) under Nicotiana benthamiana. RNAcentral describes it as "long non-coding RNA (NBEN_LNC021983)". Lineage: Eukaryota; Viridiplantae; Streptophyta; Magnoliopsida; Solanales; Solanaceae. The record is from RNAcentral.
UCCACUGGAAAGUAGGUAAUGGGGAGUCCAUUAAUCUUUGGCAUGAUGCCCGGAUCAUAAACUCAAGCCCCCUUCGAUCCCUCAUACAGGGGUCUUUGCCUCUCAAUGAAAUAAAUCUUCCCUAAGUUCUAUUCUAGAGGAGGACUCCUUCAAUAUAAAUACCCUCUCUUUUGAACUAUCAGAAACCAUUAGUAAACAAUUUUUUAGCACAUAUGUUAAACAAAUUGAGCCAGCAGUAGAUAAAUUUACUUGGGAAGAGGGAUCUAAUGGAUCUUUCUCGGCGAAGGCUGCUUACAAAAUUGUCAAAGUCCAGUCCAAAGAAGAAGGAUACUGAACUGACUUUUCUGGCUAUGGAAGCUAGACACCCUAAAAAAUAUCAAGCCCUUCUUAUGGACAGUUGUCCAUAUUAGGGUACCCACCUCCAAAAUAUUAUACAGUAGGAAAAUCAUUAACUCCAGCAUUUGCAAUAUUUGCCAAUAUGAAAAAGAAGACAUGGAACAUAUGUUCUUCAACUGGCGACACUCAAAACCUAUUUAGGAUCAAUUGAGAAGCUUUUAAAAAUAUUCUGAUCAGUCACGCAAUGAGCUCACUAUGCAUAACUGGUUAAAACUUCUUUGCCAGACAAGUUUUUCUUUUAACAGAUACUUAACUAAGGUAGAUAUCCUUCCCUUUACCCCUUGGCAUAUAUGGAUACACAGAAAUAAUUUCAUUUUUAAUAAUAAUAAAUCUCCUCUCUCCUUAAAACACAUCGUUUAAAG